UAACACGUGGCCAAACUACCCUAUGGAUCCGAAUAACCUCGGGAAACUGAGGCUAAUUCGGAAUACGAAUCCCAGGCUGGAACUGCCGGGAUUCCGAAACGUUACGGCGCCAUAGGAUGUGGCUGCGGCCGAUUAGGUAGACGGUGGGGUAACGGCCCACCGUGCCGAUAAUCGGUACGGGUUGUGAGAGCAAGAGCCCGGAGACGGUAUCUGAGACAAGAUACCGGGCCCUACGGGGCGCAGCAGGCGCGAAACCUUUACACUGCACGCGAGUGCGAUAAGGGGACUCCAAGUGCGAGGGCAUAUCGUCCUCGCUUUUCGCGACCGUAAGGUGGUCGCAGAAUAAGUGCUGGGCAAGACCGGUGCCAGCCGCCGCGGUAAUACCGGCAGCACGAGUGAUGACCGCUAUUAUUGGGCCUAAAGCGUCCGUAGCUGGCCAGCCAAGUCCAUCGGGAAAUCCGCGCGCUUAACGCGCGGGCGUCCGGUGGAAACUGGAUGGCUUGGGACCGGAAGACCAGAGGGGUACGUCCGGGGUAGGAGUGAAAUCCCGUAAUCCUGGACGGACCACCGGUGGCGAAAGCGCCUCUGGAAGACGGAUCCGACGGUGAGGGACGAAAGCUCGGGUCACGAACCGGAUUAGAUACCCGGGUA
Molecule: ribosomal RNA, 651 nt
Filed under: halophilic archaeon
Lineage: Archaea; Methanobacteriati; Methanobacteriota; Halobacteria; Halobacteriales
Description: bacterial SSU rRNA
Rfam family: Archaeal small subunit ribosomal RNA
Source: RNAcentral